AAUUCGAACUUAUCAGGCCAUCUAGUACUUGAACUUGGAAAACUUGAACAUCUACAGUAUUUGUGGAUGUUGCAUGUGGGAGGGUUGGAGCUGCAUAUUUCAGAUUCAAGCAUCUGGAUGAUGGAAUAUACGAAGCUGUUGAAAUUUCAGGGUGAAGUCGAGCACAUUUCUCUAAUGAAGUCAAAGAUUUGUAUUUUCAGUAUUAUUGUAAUUGUAACUGUAAUUGAUUGUAAUUAU
Magnolia sinica is the source of this 237-nucleotide long non-coding RNA. RefSeq lists it as uncharacterized. The record is from RefSeq and is a predicted model, not a curated record. Lineage: Eukaryota; Viridiplantae; Streptophyta; Magnoliopsida; Magnoliales; Magnoliaceae. The transcript is spliced from 3 exons.